This 221-nucleotide non-coding RNA is filed under the name Lysinibacillus xylanilyticus. RNAcentral's name for it is "T-box sequence". It matches the Rfam family "T-box leader". Rfam says of the family: Uncharged tRNA acts as the effector for transcription antitermination of genes in the T-box leader family. T-boxes are found upstream of many aminoacyl-tRNA synthetase genes and some amino acid biosynthetic genes usually in Gram-positive bacteria. The record is from RNAcentral. Lineage: Bacteria; Bacillati; Bacillota; Bacilli; Caryophanales; Bacillaceae.
UUAAAUUUGAUGAAAAAGAGAGUAGUUUAUGGUGUUACUGGAAAGCGAAUUAGGGAUGGUGUGAGCCUAAUGCAGAAGCCAUAAAUGAAACGCACUUUGGAGAAGGUUCUCGAAUUAGUAGUAGAGAAUAUCGGGGAGUCACCUCGUUAACAAUGGAAAGUGGUCAUAUUAUUAUGGCAACUAGAGUGGUACCACGGGAUAACUAUGCUCUCGUCUCUAUA